RNAcentral lists this ribosomal RNA (112 nucleotides) under Streptococcus pyogenes. Lineage: Bacteria; Bacillati; Bacillota; Bacilli; Lactobacillales; Streptococcaceae. The record is from RNAcentral.
CAUUGGCUCAACCAAUGUACGNCCUGUACCCAUGCCGAACACAGCAGUUAAGCCCUAGAACGCCUGAUGUAGUUGGGGGUUGCCCCCUGUGAGAUAAGGUAGUCGCUUAGCU